UCGAGUCUUCGGACUUGGGUGGCGCACGGGUGAGUAACGCGUAAAGAACUUGCCUCUUAGACCGGGACAACAUCUGGAAACGGAUGCUAAUACCGGAUAUUAUGGUUUUUUCGCAUGGAGGAAUCAUGAAAGCUAGAUGCGCUAAGAGAGAGCUUUGCGUCCCAUUAGCUGGUUGGUGAGGUAACGGCCCACCAAGGCAAUGAUGGGUAGCCGGCCUGAGAGGGUGAACGGCCACAAGGGGACUGAGACACGGCCCUUACUCCUACGGGAGGCAGCAGUGGGGAAUAUUGGACAAUGGACCGCAAGUCUGAUCCAGCAAUUCUGUGUGCACGAUGACGUUUUUCGGAAUGUAAAGUGCUUUCAGUCGGGAAGAAGUCAGUGACGGUACCGACAGAAGAAGCGACGGCUAAAUACGUGCCAGCAGCCGCGGUAAUACGUAUGUCGCAAGCGUUAUCCGGAUUUAUUGGGCGUAAAGCGCGUCUAGGCGGCAAGGAAAGUCUGAUGUGAAAAUGCGGAGCUCAACUCCGUAUGGCGUUGGAAACUGCCUUACUAGAGUACUGGAGAGGUAGGCGGAACUACAAGUGUAGAGGUGAAAUUCGUAGAUAUUUGUAGGAAUGCCGAUGGGGAAGCCAGCCUACUGGACAGAUACUGACGCUAAAGCGCGAAAGCGUGGGUAGCAAACAGG
RNAcentral lists this ribosomal RNA (685 nucleotides) under uncultured Fusobacteriota bacterium. RNAcentral's name for it is "bacterial SSU rRNA". It matches the Rfam family "Bacterial small subunit ribosomal RNA", at positions 69 to 776 of the family's 1533-position model. The record is from RNAcentral. Lineage: Bacteria; Fusobacteriati; Fusobacteriota.